Papaver somniferum (opium poppy) is the source of this 2108-nucleotide long non-coding RNA. RefSeq lists it as uncharacterized. The transcript is spliced from 3 exons. NCBI's taxonomy places the organism in Eukaryota, Viridiplantae, Streptophyta, Magnoliopsida, Ranunculales, Papaveraceae. The record is from RefSeq and is a predicted model, not a curated record.
GUAGGAAUAGAGAGAGUGUAUGAAACAGUAACCUUCGUCAAAAUCAGUUUCUUGGUACCUUAGUCAAUAUUAGAAUUCUGAGUUCUUUUUGAAUGAUUCUGACUAUUAUCCGUGAGUUUACUGAGAGGUUCUUGAGUGUUAGAGUGCUCCCUUCAUGGUUGUUGAAGAGCAUAAGUCAUCAUCUUGUUCAGAAUUCCCAAUCAGUUUCUGAUUCCAGCAGCUUAUACAGCAAUGACAACAACUAUUGGAGAACCAUGUGGUUUUGCUGAACCGAUGGGUGUCUCUCCAGAUCAUGAAACAAUGAAGAUACUGAUCAAAAUAAAUUUCACGUGAUCUCUUUUUAGAAGGGUACUUGUUAUGCUCAAGAAGAUGAAGCAUGGAUUUCAGUCAACUACAACGUAAUAUCGUGGAGAAUUUUUGGGAUUUGUAAGGUUCUGGAUCACAUGAUGGAACCAUGUGUGAGGGAGAUGUGCAUGAUUGCAGAUGCUCCACUAGAUGGUGUUGGAAAUGAAAUUGUUAUCGAAAUAGAACCUCUUAUGAUGGGUUAUAGUGGUCAUGAAGAUAUGAGCAAACAAGGAGUUAGCAAGGCUACUAUAACUGAGAAGGAAGUGAGCUUGAUCCAGUGGUUCCUCAAAUUCUAACUGCAGCUGAAAGAUUAAAUGCAGAUAUGAGAAUGGUGUGGGAAAGAAACAGGAUAAUAGGCAAAUCCAUAUUUUAUGAGGGGUCUAAUUAUGAUGUCAGCCAUAUAUCUGUUAGGACAAUUCCGAAGAAUAUAUCAGCUAGUGGGCAAUUAGUAAUAAAGGAAGGGGUUGAAGCUGUGGGUACGGAUGAAGUUGUUAGAAGAUUGGAAGCAGUAACUGAACAUCAGCUAAAGGAAGGAUCUCUUCUGGAUUUUACAAUCAACUUAAAAGAACCAGAAAUAAAGAAGAGAAAGUACAAGAACAAAGUCUCUAUAGUGGAAGAAGUCAAAGGGGUUACAAGAUGUUGGUCCUGAGUUAAAUAAUGAAGAUGUCGCGUCUAAGGAUGUAAUCCUGGUGAGACUAAUGAAGACCCAUUUGAUAUGUUCAUUGACAUUCCUGCAAGCCCUCCUCCGGUGAUUUCUGCUAAUCAUGGUAAUGAGAUGGUGAUAGAGGGUCCGAUCAACAAUCAGGUACACACUACUAUACACCAAAUUUAUGUUUUUAGUUCUUGUUAUCUACCUGAAAAGCAUGAUGCAAGAAUAAAUGAGUGUGUUAGGAUGUUCAUAUGUCUUGAUAAAGAUGGUAUAUCACAUAUUAGAAUGUAUAUCAUAUGAAAAUCUGUUUAACUCGUGAACUGGAUCGGUUUGCAUACUUGUAUGCAAACCAUGCUUGAACUGCGGUUACGGAACCGGGUUUGUUUCCAAAUCGGUACGCAAACUAAAACAGUUAUGUGUUCAUGGACUCGGCAAUGUUUCCAAAUCGGUACGCAAACCGUUAUAGUUAUGUGAACUACGGAACCUGCGAUAGCCUUAAGGUUUCCAAACCGAUACGCAUACUUAAAAAGUUCUGUGAACUCCGGAAAUCGGUUUUGUUUAAGUGUUUACAAACCGGUACGCGUACUAUGACUAAACUGACGCACGAACUACUAUGUAUUUGUACUCGUAUAUCUACUAAUCAUGUCGAUUAUAUUUUCAAGUGUGUUUUAUUUAUUUGUAUGAGAUAAUUAGCAUUUGAUUAAUUCUCUAAAAUACUAGGCUAAUUGAUCACAUGUUUGUGACUCAGAUUUAAUUUCUUGUGUGUUCAUGAUAAUAAAUAUAAAUCUUUUAAGUUCAAAUCGGCUAGUUUCGACUAACCUGUUGAACAUAGUCUUUGUACAUGGUUCGGUUAUGGUUUUACCUAAACAGAGUGUAUAUCUUGUUUAUGUGAAUCAGAUUCAAAGAUUCAUCUAAUGGUGGUUAUUGUUUUCUUGGUUCCAGAGCCAUUUUUAGCUUAAACCAAAAGCAACCUAUGCUUUGAAAGUUUAUAAAGGGGGAACUUCAACCAAAAUCCCGACACUACUUUUUGUUGUGUCCUAGUUGUAUCUAGAGUCGUCCUCUUCCUAACCCUUUUAGGGUUUAGCGACUACAAAGUCUUCGUAAUGAUUCGUGA